This 141-nucleotide unclassified non-coding RNA is filed under the name soil metagenome. RNAcentral describes it as "partial internal transcribed spacer 1". The record is from RNAcentral.
CCUAGAGUUGUAGGCUUUGCCUGCUAUCUCUUACCCAUGUCUUUUGAGUACCUACGUUUCCUCGGUGGGUUCGCCCACCGAUUGGACAAACUUAAACCCUUUGCAGUUGAAUCAGCGUCUGAAAAAGAACCUUAAUAGUUA